RNAcentral lists this ribosomal RNA (443 nucleotides) under uncultured bacterium. Its description in RNAcentral is "partial 16S ribosomal RNA". It matches the Rfam family "Bacterial small subunit ribosomal RNA", at positions 338 to 795 of the family's 1533-position model. The record is from RNAcentral.
CCUACGGGAGGCAGCAGUGGGGAAUAUUGGGCAAUGGGCGCAAGCCUGACCCAGCAACGCCGCGUGAAGGAAGAAGGCCCUCGGGUUGUAAACUUCUUUUAUCAAGGACGAAACAAAUGAAGGUACUUGCUGAAUAAGCCACGGCUAACAACGUGCCAGCGGCCGCGGUAAUACGUAGAAGGAAAGCGUUAUCCGGAUUUACUGGGGGUAAAGGGCGAGGAGGCGGGACUGCAAGGCAGAUGUGAAAACCAUGGGAUCAACCCAUGGCCUGCAUGUGAAACUGUAGUUCUUGAGUGUUGGAGAGGCAGGCGGAAUUCCGUGUGUAGCGGUGAAAUGCGUAGAUAUACGGAGGAACACCAGUGGCGAAGGCGGCCUGCUGGACAAUAACUGACGCUGAGGCGCGAAAGCGUGGGGAGCAAACAGGAUUAGAUACCCGAGUAGUC